Molecule: long non-coding RNA, 693 nt
Organism: Helianthus annuus (common sunflower)
Lineage: Eukaryota; Viridiplantae; Streptophyta; Magnoliopsida; Asterales; Asteraceae
Exons: 3
Source: RefSeq, a predicted model, not a curated record
AGGACAAAACUUGCAAUUCACUCAAAAUAUUAAUAACAGAAACAUACCCUAUAAGUUGGUAGUCGUAAACAAAUACACAAAUUGCAGAAAGGGCGAUCGGAGUCGCCGUUUUAUCAAUCUUUCCGGCGAUUCACUUGAUUGGUUCUCAUUUUUAACCUUUUGAGUUUUCAACUAUGACCAUCUUAAGGUCUUGGUUCGGUUAGAUUGUAACAAGCGCUAAAGUUCAGGAAUCUUGUUCAAGUUUGGGAAUGGCAACCUAUUUGUGGAGAAAAUAUGCUGAUUAUUUGCACACUAAAUGGGAAAAAGAAGUCCUUUGGACCAUGGUUGGUCCAUUUAAGCGCCCAAAAUCGUUUACUCCUCUUGUCACAAUCUAUAUAUCGGCUUUCUAUACUGGAGUCAUUGGAGCUGCAAUCACCGAGCAACUUUACAAGGAAAAAUACUGGGAAGAUCAUCCUGGCGAGGCGGUACCGAUUAUGAGACCAAUAUUCUACGGUGGUCCUUGGAAGAUUUACAAAGGAACCGUUCUUCCACCAAACAAAUAAAUGUCAGAAGCUAACGGACUUCGUAUGAUGGAAGAAAAGCUUCAUAUAUGAUCCUGGUAUGUGUAUCUAACAUAGUUUGUACAAUGGGUCGAUAACUGCAUUCUAUUAUAGUUCUUUGUGUUCUUUUAAUGAAGAGUUAAUUGCCAUUUUA